This 490-nucleotide ribosomal RNA is filed under the name Escherichia coli. Its description in RNAcentral is "partial 23S ribosomal RNA". It matches the Rfam family "Bacterial large subunit ribosomal RNA", at positions 711 to 1199 of the family's 2925-position model. The record is from RNAcentral. Lineage: Bacteria; Pseudomonadati; Pseudomonadota; Gammaproteobacteria; Enterobacterales; Enterobacteriaceae.
AGACCCGAAACCCGGUGAUCUAGCCAUGGGCAGGUUGAAGGUUGGGUAACACUAACUGGAGGACCGAACCGACUAAUGUUGAAAAAUUAGCGGAUGACUUGUGGCUGGGGGUGAAAGGCCAAUCAAACCGGGAGAUAGCUGGUUCUCCCCGAAAGCUAUUUAGGUAGCGCCUCGUGAAUUCAUCUCCGGGGGUAGAGCACUGUUUCGGCAAGGGGGUCAUCCCGACUUACCAACCCGAUGCAAACUGCGAAUACCGGAGAAUGUUAUCACGGGAGACACACGGCGGGUGCUAACGUCCGUCGUGAAGAGGGAAACAACCCAGACCGCCAGCUAAGGUCCCAAAGUCAUGGUUAAGUGGGAAACGAUGUGGGAAGGCCCAGACAGCCAGGAUGUUGGCUUAGAAGCAGCCAUCAUUUAAAGAAAGCGUAAUAGCUCACUGGUCGAGUCGGCCUGCGCGGAAGAUGUAACGGGGCUAAACCAUGCACCGAAG